RNAcentral lists this ribosomal RNA (744 nucleotides) under Triticum aestivum (bread wheat). Its description in RNAcentral is "partial small subunit ribosomal RNA". Lineage: Eukaryota; Viridiplantae; Streptophyta; Magnoliopsida; Poales; Poaceae. The record is from RNAcentral.
AUGCCUGCUCUCCUGCUGAAGCUCGAUAUCGCAAAGGCCUUUGACAGCAUCUCCUGGGAGUUCCUCCUCGAGCUCCUCGACAAGAUGGGCUUCUUGGCGCGUUGGAGAGAUUGGGUGACCCUCCUCUCCACGUCCUCAUCGUCCUGCCUUCUCAAUGGUGUCCCAGGCCCCGCGUUCAUGCACCUGCGCGGGCUGAGGCAGGGCGACCCCCUCUCGCCAAUGCUAUUCAUGCUCUGCAUAGAUCCUCUGCACCGGCUUCUUCAAGCAGCAACUAACGCGGGGCUCUUGUCUGCGGUGCCCGAGAUGGGUGCGCGCAUGCGCACCAGCCUCUACGCUGAUGAUGCCAUCAUAUUCAUCAACCCUGUUAGGCACGAACUCGAUGAGCUCCUGACCAUCCUGCACCAUUUCGGCGAGGCUACAGGACUGCGAGUAAACUUGGAAAAAUCCUCGAUCAUCCCCAUAGCCUGCGAGGGAGUAGACAUCGCCAUGGUUUUGCUAAACUUUAGUGGGGUCAUCGUCUCAGCCAUGCCCACAUUCGCCAUCACGGCUCUACGGGCACCGAAGCAGUUCCUCAAGGACGUCGACAAGGAAAGACGACAGUUUCUAUGGGCGCAAGACGAAGAGGUUUCAGGAGGAAAAUGCAAGGUGCGCUGGUCGGCGGUCACCUCGCCGGAGCGCAACGGUGGGCUGAGCAUUCACGACCUGGACAAAUUCGCACAGGCACUGCGCUUGCGUUGGCUCUAG